CGGGUGAGUAGUGUAUAGGAACUUGCCUAGUAGUGGGGGAUAACGUGUGGAAACGCACGCUAAUACCGCAUACGCUCUACGGAGGAAAGCGGGGGAUCUUCGGACCUCGUGCUACUAGAUGGGCCUAUAUCAGAUUAGCUAGUUGGUAAGGUAAUGGCUUACCAAGGCGACGAUCUGUAGCUGGUUUGAGAGAAUGAUCAGCCACACUGGGACUGAGACACGGCCCAG
Molecule: ribosomal RNA, 228 nt
Filed under: uncultured bacterium
Lineage: Bacteria
Description: partial 16S ribosomal RNA
Rfam family: Bacterial small subunit ribosomal RNA
Source: RNAcentral